Molecule: ribozyme, 107 nt
Filed under: Aedes aegypti (yellow fever mosquito)
Lineage: Eukaryota; Metazoa; Arthropoda; Insecta; Diptera; Culicidae
Description: drz-agam-1 ribozyme
Rfam family: drz-agam-1 ribozyme
Source: Rfam by way of RNAcentral
UGCCGAGCAACUCCUAUCCCUACCUCCUCGUAGUACUGGCAGGGGCACGAGGAAAGAUCAGGUAACCAACCCCGGUGUGUACUUUGGUCAUAUGCUGACAGAGAAGG